Camellia sinensis is the source of this 1236-nucleotide long non-coding RNA. RefSeq lists it as uncharacterized. The record is from RefSeq and is a predicted model, not a curated record. NCBI's taxonomy places the organism in Eukaryota, Viridiplantae, Streptophyta, Magnoliopsida, Ericales, Theaceae.
UCUUACCAACCAACAACACAUCGCAUAUAGUCCACUACAGAUUAAGGAUAAAUUUGGGACCAGAAAAUCCUCCAAAUACAAUCAUAUUCUGUGUUUUAUACCAACAAUAUUACAUAUUUAGACCAAAAAAAUAAUUCAAAAAAAUACCUAUGGUUUAAAAUUUGUCAACAUGAUUCAUUCAAGGUUUGACCCCACAAUAUGAAAUUUAAAUGUACACCAUAAAUUUAAAAUUAUUUUUUGAGUAAAUUUUUUGUAGUGCAUAGGGUUUUCCUGUUUUACCCUCAUCAUGCAACAGUUGGCUGCUUCACCACAGCCAUGGAAAAGCCCUGAGCCCACUUGACUUGUCUGUACUAUUAGAUGGUCAUGGUCCAUCAGUUUCUGAACCUGUGAUGAUGAACCACAAACAAGACACCCACUAGCACCAACCCUUCCUCUACUAGUUCCAACCAAUCAUCCUCUCUUUCUCAAAUCUUUUUGUGAGUUAUCAAAAUCAAGAAUUUCAAGACACACAAAUCUUGAAACAUAAUUUCAAUUUCACAGCUAUGAGUAUCUUAAAAAAAGAAGAAUAUUCUCAAGUCAAGACACAUAACAGUUAUUAUAUCAUUGAGAAUCUCAUAAUAGCACAUGAAUCUUGAAGCAUAAUACAAAGCAUAUAAUAUAUUAACCCCUUAGAACAACUCUUUGAUUCAUAUCCACAGCUUGACCAUCUCAAUUCCAUAUCCACAGCUUAUUCUAUAUUUGAUCUCUUCAUUCUUGACUCCCCAUAUAUGUAUAGUCACCAACACAAGAACUACUACAUACAGUUUCUUCUCGUAUACAUAGUCAAGUCACCAUGCUUGAAGGCAAGGCAGUCAUAGGUGAGACUGACAUGCUUCAGACCAUGCAACUAGUGGCACUUGAGUUAGCAGCAAAAGCACUUGACUUCUUUGAUGUCACUGAGCCCACUCAGAUGGCCGCUUCAUAAAGCAGGUGUUUGAUGCAGGAAUUUGAUACGACAUAUGGAUCAGGAUGGCAAUGCAUCGUGGGGACAGACUUUGGUUCGUUUGUGACUCACUGCUAUGGUUCUAUCAUCUAUUUUUGCAUUGGCAGCCUUGCCAUUUUGCUCUUCAGGGGCUCGGCAGUGAAAGCAUGAAGCUUCUUGUCAAUUUUUUUUUAUUUUGCUUUGUUUGCUUUUUACCAGUGUAGACUUGAAAAUGAGAAAAUUCCAAGUUUCAUCUUCUUCCAACAUUCCAAGUC